CCCCUCGUGGUAGCGUUUUUAAAAUAAUGGUUUCAAUGUGGGAAACAUUUUUAAAUGGUUUUCUCGAGGUUCUUUCGCAAAGUUAGAGUUUUAAAAAGAAAAUCUUCGUGUGGGAGACAAUUUCAACUUCUAAGAUGGAACUAGGCUACUAUGCUAUUAAUAGCACCAAGUCAUUGGUGCUACCAAGUUUUUUGCCAUUGGAUUAAGAGAUGUGUGGUUAGGAUAAUGUGAGCCCUCUAGGGUUGAGUGGGUGGUUGGUUGAAUAGUAUGAUCUAACGGGUGAAAAUGAUCAAAAGGGUAGAUCUAAUGGCGGAAAACUUGGUAGCACCAAGUGCUUCGUGCUAUUAAUAGCAUAGUAGCCGGACUCUCUAAGAUGAAUAUGAAUGAAUGUGGAAUGGAUGUGACUAAGGACGCUAGCUAUUUAUGUAUUAUGAUG
Molecule: long non-coding RNA, 436 nt
Filed under: Ananas comosus (pineapple)
Lineage: Eukaryota; Viridiplantae; Streptophyta; Magnoliopsida; Poales; Bromeliaceae
Description: long non-coding RNA (ACOM_LNC019521)
Source: RNAcentral